This is a non-coding RNA of Paramuricea clavata, 73 nucleotides long. The record is from the annotation of a GenBank genome assembly. Lineage: Eukaryota; Metazoa; Cnidaria; Anthozoa; Malacalcyonacea; Plexauridae.
GACCGCGUAGCUCAGUUGGCAGUGCAUUGGGCUAGUAUUCCAAAGGUCGUAGGUUCGAUUCCCACCGUGGCCA